This 475-nucleotide ribosomal RNA is filed under the name Pomacea flagellata. RNAcentral describes it as "partial 16S ribosomal RNA". It matches the Rfam family "Bacterial large subunit ribosomal RNA", at positions 1848 to 2583 of the family's 2925-position model. Lineage: Eukaryota; Metazoa; Mollusca; Gastropoda; Architaenioglossa; Ampullariidae. The record is from RNAcentral.
AGGAGUUUGGCCUGCCCAGUGACAAAGUUUUAACGGCCGCGGUACUCUGACCGUGCGAAGGUAGCAUAAUCAUUUGCCUUAUAAUUGAAGGCUAGUAUGAAAGGUUCGACGAAAACUGAAUUGUCUCUUACUAGGUAAAAUGAAAUUGAUUUUUAGGUGCAAAGGCCUAUAUUUAACUAAAAGACAAGAAGACCCUAUUGAGCUUAAAAAUUUUAUAAAAAUAAAAUAAUAUGGCUAAGAUUUUCAAUUUUUUUUAGGUUUUUUGGUUGGGGCGACUUAGGAACAGUAAAAGCUUCCUAAAAUAAAGAAUACUUAUUAGUUUUGAUCCAAAAGGAUUUUGAUUAAUAGAAUUAGUUACCAUAGGGAUAACAGCAUAAUCUUUCUUGAGAGUUCUAAUCGAAAGAAGGGAUUGUGACCUCGAUGUUGGACUAGAAUAUCCUAAAGGUGCAGAAGCUUUUAAAGGUUGGUCUGUUCG